Molecule: long non-coding RNA, 977 nt
Filed under: Agrilus planipennis (emerald ash borer)
Lineage: Eukaryota; Metazoa; Arthropoda; Insecta; Coleoptera; Buprestidae
Description: uncharacterized LOC112905364, transcript variant X1
Source: RNAcentral
UCAGUAGAUUUUUAAUAUCGACGUGGUCAAGCCAUGAAGGAAUCGUUUCAUUUUAUCUGUAUAUUUAGGUACAUUUAUGUACAUGUAUGUGUCUGUUUAUGCCUUUUUUCAGUUGGGAACAGAGACAGUGUGUGAAUGGGUAACAAUAUCAAUUAAAAAUUGACAAUAAAUAGAAGUGGAAGAGUGUUCAUUUUGAUGCUAGUGGAAAAGCAAGUUUGUCUGCUGUGGUGUUCUUUUUACCUUAGGGGAUCUUCUAGUUAAUUUAAGAACAUUAUAAAAACUUAGGAUCCCAAUAAAUUACUGAGCAUUGGUUGUAUCAGUCUUCAUUUGCUCCAGAAAGUAGCUGCACCUACGGUCCUAAAGAGAGCAGAAAGUGCUUUUUUCCCCAUUGGGAACAGAGUCAGUGUGCCACUGCUAAAGGAAGGAUUUGUAAAGAUGAAUGAACCGAUAAGGAACAGUAUUAAUUAAAAACAGUAAAUGAGGUCGCAGAAACUUCAGGUUUUUAGACAUUUAUAACUUAUUUUCAAUAGACACUUUUUAAACAACGUUUUAAAAAUGGCAGAAACAGAACAGCAAAAUUAAUGUGGAAAUGACCUUUCCAUCAGUGUGAAUGUUUAUUUAUUUGCUUUAAAUGUGGUAAUUAAUUACAUUUUCUUGCCCGUUUCUGUAGAUUGCCCAACAAAUGACAAGGAAUUGUUUUUGACGUCUUCAUCUUGUAACAUUAUGGAGUUAAUUUUAAUUUUGCGAGUGAGAGGCAAGUGGAAAUUAAUUUUGAAACGACUGAAACAAGAAAUUGCAGUAGUAUUCCUCCUGGAUUUGGCUUGCUCAUUGCACCUGUGCAAUUUAGAACGUUACUUUCUACAGUUAAUGAAGAUUGCCCAGCAAAUGAGUUCAGUUUGGCGCUACUCGAACAACCGUCUACAUGGGUGUGGUCUUUUCUGGACUUUGUUCCUGAUUUGAUAUUUUCAUCUUCACUU